CCUACGGGUAGCAGCAGUGAGGAAUAUUGGUCAAUGGACGCGAGCCUGAACCAGCCAAGUAGCGUGAAGGAUGACUGCCCUACGGGUUGUAAACUUCUUUUAUAUAGGAAUAAAAUGUUCAACGUGUUGGAUUUUGUAUGUACCAUAUGAAUAAGCAUCGGCUAACUCCGUGCCAGCAGCCGCGGUAAUACGGAGGAUGCGAGCGUUAUCCGGAUUUAUUGGGUUUAAAGGGAGCGUAGGUGGUUUGUUAAGUCAGCGGUGAAAGUUUGCGGCUCAACCGUAAAAUUGCAGUUGAAACUGGCAGUCUUGAGUACAGUAGAGGUGGGCGGAAUGCGUGGUGUAGCGGUGAAAUGCUUAGAUAUCACGCAGAACUCCGAUUGCGAAGGCAGUUUACUAGACUGCAACUGACACUGAGGCUCGAAAGUGUGGGUAUCAAACAGGAUUAGAUACCCGAGUAGUC
This 460-nucleotide ribosomal RNA is filed under the name uncultured bacterium. RNAcentral describes it as "partial 16S ribosomal RNA". It matches the Rfam family "Bacterial small subunit ribosomal RNA", at positions 338 to 795 of the family's 1533-position model. The record is from RNAcentral.